AAGUCGUAACAAGGUUUCCGUAGGUGAACCUGCGGAAGGAUCAUUAAUGAAUUUGGGUGCUCUCUUUGAGAGGCCCGACCUUCAUCCUUCUACCCUGUGCACUAUUUCUUGUAGUCUGUUGGGGUGUAAUGCCUCAUUACAACAGCUACAACCAUUUUUUUAACACUACAAGCCUAAGAAUGUAACAAUUUAUAAUCAAAUAAAA
This 205-nucleotide unclassified non-coding RNA is filed under the name plant metagenome. Its description in RNAcentral is "partial contains small subunit ribosomal RNA and internal transcribed spacer 1". The stretch from base 1 to 46 matches the Rfam family "Eukaryotic small subunit ribosomal RNA", at positions 1786 to 1831 of the family's 1831-position model. The record is from RNAcentral.